GAUGACGGGCCCGGAGGAUGGCGCGGUGUCGGAGUGGCCGUGAGGGGGACACGGAGGAGAGAGCUCAGGAUGUCGGCUCGGGAUGGCAGGGCAGCGUGUCUCUUUCUACCACUCCCUGGCAGGAGGCUGUAGCCUGACCUGAGGGUCGGGCUCUGCCCCCAGGGAACAACGACGGGAUGAGAGCACAAAGGCUUAACCUGCACCAGAGGAGGUUUAAGUCCGGCAUCAGGAGGAAUUUCUUCACAGAAAGGGUGAUUAGAUGUUGGAAGGGGCUGCCCAGGAGGUGGUGGAGUCCCUGUUCCUGGUGCUGUCCAAGAAAUGACUGGAAGUGGCACUCAGCUGGGCUGGGUAACAAGGUUUUGUCAAGGAUUCUGUACUGCUUUUCCCAAAUCAUCCAGUAUUAGUUCCAGGACUGAGUGACUACACUUUGAGUGGUGGAAUUUCCAGUUACCUGAUCAUCCUUCACUGCCUUGUAGUCACAGCACAAGCCACAACACCAGUGGAGCUGCCUGGGUCCUGAUGAACUCAGCUGGAUGGAUAUCCCAGAAGACAGGUGCCAUCACAUGAAGGCUUUGUGGAUGGUUUUCUAAAGAUGCUGUUUCACCUCAGAAGCACCAACCAGAGCAGUCCAAGGACAUGUGCAUUGAGCUAGUGGAUAAUUUUAUGCCAGAAGACUUCCACAGCAGAACAUGAAGUCUUGACUGGGGAAGGAAGGUGUUGCCCCAAAAUGAGAGCAUAAAAUGGAACUAAGCCAUGAAGAAUUUAAAUGUAAAAUAUUAAUGCAGUUAAGUAAGAGCAUCUCUGGAAUAUGAAGAAAUGCUAAUGGCAGAUUGGUGGCAGACGGGGAGCAGGGACAAGCUUUCAGGCUGAGUCUAGAGACCUUUCUUUUCUGUGUUAAGGAUACUCUGCAAUUGCUGCUGUUGUUUCCUCCAGCAGGAAAGUGGAACUUUAUCUACCCUGGGAAAUCUUUGAAAUGUGUGGAAAGCAAAUGAGAACAAUUCUGCCUUGCAAGCAGACACGAUGAGGAUCUGCGCAGUCUGUGUUAAGCCCUGAGUGAAAGACACAGCUCAGUUAUCAGCUGAGACAGCCCCGAGGCUCCCAGCAGCUGUAAGAUCCAUGGCAGUAAGGAUUAAAGUCUUUCAGAAUGCCAUUGGAAAAGGAAUGGGGAGAGCAGGCAAGAAAAUAGGUAAUGGUGAGAAGAAGAACAGCUCAGGAACAAGCAUAAAGCUAAGACUAUGGGCAGAAAGAUGGGACAACUGUGUUAAGGGACUUGGGGGUGCUCCUUAAAUAAGGGGAUUGGACACACUGGGCACAUAUACCAGUUGUUUGAUGUCCUACUCCCCCUUGUACUGAUAACACAUUGAAAGCUCUGGGGCUUAACUAUUGGCACCAGGGUCUUAACAGCUAAGUGUAUUUGAACAUCCUAAUUACAGGGAAUGGCAAUGGAAUUAGAGCUGAUUCCUCCCUGUUCCUCACUGGCUGGUUUGCCUGAUCCCAAGGCUGGGGUCAGGGCCUGUCUCUGCAUGGAGCUGGGAUUACCCAAAAAUCUCUUGUCUGUGUUGCAGGGAAGGGAAGUGAGGCAGAGCCUGGAGCUGCGCAGUGGCAAAACUUGAUGGAUUGCAGAUACCUGCAGGUGCCUCAGUGCUGUUAAGUAAUCUAGAGUGUGACAGAUUUGCUUCUAGAGUAGCACUGGUACAGCCAGGUCAUUCUUCAGGGUCAAACCUUUUAGUCCAAGGUUGCUCUAAAGAUUUCAGUGUUCUGAGCAGUUCUGAUUGAGCUGGGGCUCACUCAGAAGAAGCUGAGUGCUCUGCAGACAGCCCCCCUGUCAAUGCAGAGUGUCCUCUGCAGCAUUCCCAAAUCCCUGGAGCUGGGUGCUGCCUCCUAGCUGAUGUUGAAAUACCCAACUGCAGCAACCCAAGCAACAAAUCCUUCUGGGAAUGACACAGUUCUCCAGCUCUGGUGAUGAAAUUGCUUCCUGAGCUCUUACACAGGUAAGGAUUCUAUGACUUUGUGGAAGGUCGAGGAAUGACACAGAGCAUCAUAGGGAGCCAAACCAGGCACUUUAAAUAGGAGAAAGAUCCUCUGUGUUUCAAGCCCCAAACCCUGCCUUGGCUGGCUUCCACACACACAGUCAGUCCUCUGCCUGCUCCUCAGGAGGGUAAAUUUGGCCAGGACCUCUGGAAAGGACUUCUCACUGUAUCUGAGGUUUUGCUCUUUCCUUGUUUAGAAGGAAUUAAUCUAUUUAUAGGCAUGAUCAGGUUCUUCCUCUCUGUCCUUCCCUUAGCAUUAAGCAAUGAAAAUCCUGGUCUUACCUGUGGAUGCAGGAAUGCCACAGUUAAUUUUGGUAUGCUCUGUUAUUUAUUGAGUCCCAGACCCCCUGUGUCUCCUUGUUUGUCCUUGUAUUAAUUAAGUACAAGUUUACAUCUACAGCAGUGAACUGCAGCAGCACAGCACUUGGUAAGUGAAGAGCAAGUCCUGGACUGUUCCAGCAUACUGGGAUAACUGGGCUUCUAGCUGUCAGGAGGGGAAGCUUAAGCAGUUCCUGUAGGACACUCAGCCCCUGGGCUCUCUGGAAAUGGGGGUCCUGGUUUCUCUUGGAUGACUGUACAAAGAUCUAUCUGCAGGUUUGGAUUGGGGUUCUGCAGAGCCCAGAAUGAUGAAGGCUGUCUAGAAACCAUUAAUAAAGAUCAGAACUUGAUGGCAUCAAUAACUCCCUUUGGGCUUCUUGCAGGCUGAGAUAGAGGCAGAUUGUCAAAAUUACUUAACGUCCUGGAACACCACCCAUUCCAGUAUGAAUAGGUUUCUUGUGUACAACUCACAUGAUCCUGGUGUUUUCCUGGUGUCUCUAUGGAGACUGGAGACAUUCUUCUGGUCUAUUGGUUGGGAAUCUUUGCUGCUUUCAGGUAAAUUGUCUUGUAGAAAUAACGAAAGCAGAGAUAAUCCUCUGAAUAAUGAAUAAAGCAUCAGUCACAGAACACAAAAACAUCCUGGCUGUUUUAUAGAAGGAGUUGCAAAUAUUUUGAUUAUUCCUUUUUAACACACUACCAGCUUGGCAGAGAUUUAGCAAGACUUGUGCAAAAAUAAUUGGCCUUAGGCAAAGCUGGAUAAAGCAUUUACAUGUGGAUCCUCAUCCAAAUGAGGCUGGAGCAUGGAUUAAAGAGUGAAGUAGUGUUAGAUUUGGGAAGCCUUCCCUGCCAAAAAUUGGGGGUGUUUUUUCAAAGAUGUUCCAAUUCCAAACACUCUCAUUCUCAUGAGAUUAGAUACUUCCCUUCACAAUUGGCUCCAGUCCCUCCAGGAAAAAUUAGUUAAAUGAGAUUGUUGUUACUUUGGCCAUAUUAAAAUAGUUGUCUCUGUUUUCACUGGCAGCUAGGAGAGGAAAGCAAUGUGGGUAGGAGGAGGAUGAUGGUUGGGCACUUCUUCCCUUUAAGGGUGUACUUUCACAGCAGUGUGGAAUUCAUUGGAGAAAGGGGAAAAACACUGUUUAUUGUCCCAGGAAUAUUUGGGAUGACAAGUAGGGGACCAGGUACGUCUGUCUUGCCCAAACUGGACCCUCAGGUGGCACAGAAUGUUUCUUUGCAUUCCUGGUUGCCACUCCCAAGCUCCUUAGCCCUAGUUUAUAAGUCCAGAAUGUAGCCUCUUAGCUAUAGCCUGAAAAUUCCACUUGCUGAAAGAUGGGCUCUGUUCCUUGGCAUAGCCUCUGGUGUACGUGGUGUCUGUGCAACUCCCAAAAAAUCAGAGCUAUCCCAUAAAUAUCUCUCUAGAUGCCUUCAGUUCUGCCAGUGGGUCUGCCUCAGGAUUCAUAGUGACUGAUUCCUUCUGGUUUAGUUCCUUGGUGCCCUGUGUAGUGGCACAGCAAUGCCCUGGGAGCUCAUGGAAAUACUCCAACUCCAGUGCCAGAGUCUGGUUGCAGGGUUUUGGUAGGAACAGGUAGGAAGGAGAAGCUGUUCAGGUGUUGUGUGUCCUGCAAAGAGGUAACUUGGAAAAAAAUAACACACUGUCUCACAGCCCCCAGUGUGCUAUGGGGGAAAAAAUGAGGUCACAGAGGAAAAUUCUGGGAUUUAGAUUCUGCUGUGCAUGGAGAGGACGUGAUGGUGAGUGAGAUCUGGCUUCUGUCCCAAGCAUUAACAGAGGGAAACUUUGCCUCAGUUUCUCUGCAUGUAAAUCUGAGGCCAUAUCUAGGUCUCCUUUUUAAGAGGUUUUGCGAAUGUGUCAUGAACUUUACGGCUUGUGUGUUCUAAGCCUGCUAUCAGCACUGAUAAAAAUGGUUAUUAGCUGUACUAUUACUUUAAAUCAGAGCAUCUUAACUAAUUUGGGGACUGGCCAGUGGCUCCAGUCACAUGAUGAAUACCCUUAUACUCUAUUUCUAGAUGAUUCAAAGUUGGCUCUAGGCAAGGGAGAUUAGGUUUAGGGCUUGAGGCAGAGCAGGAAAUAAAACAAAGGUGUCCAAAUUGAUGGUUCAGCUUUCAGUAUAAUUUUAUUGAAGAAAGUAACUCAAGCUUUGGUUUAUUCUGAGCAUGUCAAGGACACCUUUGUAGUGUUGCUGCCCUAAGCCCAGAGCUGUCCAUUAAGGGACAAAACUGGAGCCAGGAAUGGUUUGUAACCACACAAAUGCUGCAGCAUCACAGUGGGGAGAUAGGGAGUAAGAGGGGAAUCAGUUGGACUCAGAGUGAGGUCUGGUGACACUCAAAGAGGUUGCAGACAGAUUUAGGGUGACAGGGAAAUAAUGUAAUUGAGGAUUUGAGACAGGCUCCAUAGCUUUGGGGACUGAAAAAAAAAAUAAAUUCUAAUGAAACUGCUGGACUUGGAGCAGUCAUAUUCCAUAGUCACUUAGACCAGGAGUGAAAUUUGGUUGUGAAGAUAAGCUGGGAGCAAAGAGCCCCCCUAAAGGUAAUGGGGGUAUGUGAGCUUGUGCAGUUGCUGCUCUGCAACUUCUGUUUCCUCGGCUGCUCAGAGGUAUCGUCAUCUGCAAAGGGGCCAAGGUAAAGCUCAGGAUCAACAAACACUUCAGUUUCUUUUCCGUCCUCUGCCUUUACAAGGCUUUCCAGGAGGCAGGGAGGAGACCCUGCUCAGAGGUGUCUUUCUCUCAAUGAGCAUUUCUGUCAGGGGAAUGCACAGGACUGAGGGGCUCACUUAGCCACCCAGCAGGUGGGUUUUCCUUCUAUGUACAUGUGUUGGAUGUUUUACACUCUCCCUGGCUUAAAAAAAAAAUCUUCCUGGGCAAUGCCUUUUUCUCUGGCAUGGGGCAGAUACUAGAAACUCACUUUAUUUAUGUGAGGCAGAUGCUGAGAUCUUUUACUCAAAGGGAUUUUUAUGCACCGAGACGCUCAUGCUGAGAGGACAAAGCCUCUGGAUUCCCUGGAGCAAAGCAUUGGCCCAAAUUGUGCCUUCCUCUUUCUAGCCACACAUUUGAUUUUUCUAUACUGGAUCCCAAUAUCAUGCUGAAAAAGGCAUACACUUGAGAUUAGAGCGUCAGUGUUUAACAGGAUUGAUUAUGUCUGCACAGAUCUGUUUUCAAAGAUGAUUGCAUUUCACUGGUAAAGGGACUUUUCCAGUGAUUAAAAAUGGUAAUGUCAGUGGCUUGUGAAAGGUAUCUUUGCCCUUUCGAUAUAGAAACCAGCAUUCAGACUAAGAGCCAAGUCACUUUCAGACUUUGGCACUUUAGUUCAUUCUGCCCAUUCUGUCAAAAUAAGUUUGCAUUUUAAAUUCUUGUGGAAACUGGAAGCAGAAAACCCAACAGACUUCUUCUCUUCAGGCAAACAAUUCUAGUGUGCUUGGCAAUGUACUAAUGCAGCAGCAAAGUGAUCACAACCAGCUGACUCCUAAGCGGAGCCAUUUGGGUACUACCUAAAUCCCAAAUCUACCUAAAUCACAAAUUUAGUAAUACAGCAACAACUUAAUUCCUCUUUCCUUAAUCACCGUCUCUCAUGGUAAUGUUUGUGCUGGGACUAAACAAGUCAACUCAAAAGUGCUUAAUCAUUUUCCCAAGGUGCACUGCACAUGUUGGGCUCUGGCACUGCACACAAAAGGCCUGGUAGCACAAAUUGACUCCAAAUUUAAACUAGUUGUCUCCAGAAACCCAAGUUUAGAGAGUGUGCUGCCAUAUCUCUUCUGAUUGAACACAACUGUCCUCCUGGACAAUCUAUUUCCAGCUCUCUGGUGCUGGGCUGACCUCCCUGCUUUUCCUUAGAAAUUACUUGUUACUGACUGACAGACUCACUACAGUUCUAUUUUCCUCAAUUCUGAUUGCAAAAAUGCUUUAGUCAGUAAAAUGGAGAAUUGUGUCCCUUGGAUUAACUCCCUCUUGGAAAAGGGCAGAAAUCCUGGUCCCUGGCUGUCCAGCUGCCAUUUGUGGCGUGCAGGUGCCAGCCUGGGGCACACAGACUGUCAAAUCUCCUGCCCUCCAAACCUUCCCGAAUGCGCCUUUCACUUCCCAGCCUCCCAUCCGAUCCCAGCUCUCAACCACAAGAGAAACCUCAGGGAGAAACACUUAUCAGCAAGGCUGUCCUACAUGGAAGAGUCCUGGGGCUCCAACAGCUGCUCGGGGUUUGAGUCCCCUUGGCAGAUGUUCGCUAUUCCAGCCAUUUCAUUAAUUUUGGAAACAAAACCCUGAUUAUUCCUGACCAAAGCACCCCCCUUUUGAUUGACAGCCAGUGUGUGUUUCAUCCAACAUAACUCACCGUAUUGCUCUGGCACUUAUUUAAAAAAAAAAUUCCAUUAAUAACAAGAAAUAAAGUUUCUAGAGAUGUGUUAGUGUGGGCUAAUCCCACCUGCCAGUUCAUCUGCUUGGGCUGAGGUGAAGGCAUCACAUUUCUAGAGUAUGGACAGAGGUGCCAGCCACACACCUCUGGAUAUUCAGCCCUCCAGAUGUGAGAAAGAAACAUUUAAAGACAAGCAGAGUCCCUUGUCCCAUGAGCUUGGAAAGCCCACGGUUUGCUUCCCCUCUUGAUUUCUGGGCUGGAUCUUGUCAAGCUCCUGAAAUACUCUUCAGGAAACAUUCUUCUGCUGUGUUGUGUCAGAUUUUUCAAAGGCAAGAAAAGCAGGAUAAUUUUGAAGUGGGGGUAGGGUAGGCUGCAGCUCCUGGCUGGACCCCGAGGAAACGUAAGUAGUAAAAUGCCAUUUGCUGCUGCUUUGGGGCUUAAAUCAGUGGCUUGCUCACUGUUGCUUCCAAAAUAUUCUUUGCAAUAAUUAUCAGCACGUACUAAUUGCUGAAGUUAAUGUUGCUGGUAAUUACUUUGUUUUCUAAAAAAAAAGAAAAAGACGUGUCUGAAAAAGACUAAGAAAAUAUGCUCCUAAAAUGGUUUAUGUCUGAAUGAAGAGGUGAGUACUCAUAAAACUACAGUCAUAACAAAAUCAGUCCAUCUGCUUAAAUAGCCGUAGUUUGUUUAGGAAUUAAAGCAGCAGUUUAAGUAAUUUAGAAAGAGUUAUAAUGCUGUGGAGGUGAGAAGUUCUUGAACUCCUUAGUUGUUAUCCUUCUCGGUAAAUUCCUCAUCGUAAGAUCACUUUAGUUUCUCAAAAUCAAAAUAAAUAAAACCAUUUCCAAACAAUUUAUUUUAAAUGAGAAUGUCAUCCCAAUGCUUUAAAAUUAGCAAAGCACUUUGCUUUACAUUUGUUUCAUUAUAAUUGCUGUACUAUAUUAAAAAAAAUGUAAUGAGGUUUUAAGAAAAAAAUUUCAAUGGCUAUAUCGAAAGUCUGAUAUAUUCUUGCAUCUGCCUUCCAGUUCAGUGUGUGGACAGUGCAAACAUCUUAUUUUGAUUUUGAGUUUCUAUAAAUGAACAACUGUAUUGCUGAAGACAAAUGAAACUUUGAAUUGAAAAAAGACGUAGUGCUUUUACAAAAGAGGUUAAAGAUAGUUUACAGUGUUUUGAAGGA
Long non-coding RNA from Motacilla alba alba, 7869 nucleotides. RefSeq lists it as uncharacterized. The record is from RefSeq and is a predicted model, not a curated record. Lineage: Eukaryota; Metazoa; Chordata; Aves; Passeriformes; Motacillidae. The transcript has 4 exons.